GAUGAACGCUGGCGGCGUGCCUAACACAUGCAAGUCGAGCGAACAGACGAGGAGUUUGCUCCUCUGACGUUAGCGGCGGACGGGUGAGUAACACGUGGAUAACCUACCUAUAAGACUGGGAUCACUUCGGGAAACCGGAGCUAAUACCGGAUAAUAUAUUGAACCGCAUGGUUCAUUAGUGAAAGACGGUUUUGCUGUCCCUUAUAGAUGGUUCCGCGCCGCAUUAGCUAGUUGGUAAGGUAACGGCUUACCAAGGCAACGAUGCGUAGCCGACCUGAGAGGGUGAUCGGCCACACUGGAACUGAGACACGGUCCAGACUCCUACGGGAGGCAGCAGUAGGGAAUCUUCCGCAAUGGGCGAAAGCCUGACGGAGCAACGCCGCGUGAGUGAUGAAGGUCUUCGGAUCGUAAAACUCUGUUAGUAGGGAAGAACAAAUGUGUAAGUAACUAUGCACGUCUUGACGGUACCUAAUCAGAAAGCCACGGCUAACUACGUG
This 497-nucleotide ribosomal RNA is filed under the name uncultured bacterium. RNAcentral's name for it is "partial 16S ribosomal RNA". It matches the Rfam family "Bacterial small subunit ribosomal RNA", at positions 28 to 507 of the family's 1533-position model. The record is from RNAcentral.